UAAAUUAUAUUAAUUAAGUGAUCCAACAAGAGAGUUUUGGUUUUGCCUUUCCCUCUCUAUUUCUUUCGGCUUCAUUCCCUUCUGCAGAGUUUUGCGCGAGUUCUACUUCGUCGCUGUUCGACUUCGCUCCUUCCACGACCUUCCCUUCCUGUUGGAGCGGAAGUUACGACAUUUUUUGAUCGGAAGCAACAAUGGGGCUCGCUUGCUAUGAAGGUAACUUUCUCCCUUUCGCGCUGGCCGAGGAUCUUGCGAAAAUACUGCGGCGAAAUGGCCAAACCCCGUAAGGUGAGGAGGAGCAGAGGAAAGAAAGGUGAGGAGGAGCAGAGGAUCUCGUAGGAAGGAUACAUACAGUGAAUCUGAUGGUAGCUCGCUCGCUGUGAAGAAAAGUUAAAGGCGGA
Long non-coding RNA from Dendrobium catenatum, 398 nucleotides. RefSeq lists it as uncharacterized. The record is from RefSeq and is a predicted model, not a curated record. The transcript has 3 exons. Lineage: Eukaryota; Viridiplantae; Streptophyta; Magnoliopsida; Asparagales; Orchidaceae.